Phycomyces blakesleeanus NRRL 1555(-) is the source of this 72-nucleotide transfer RNA. It matches the Rfam family "tRNA". Rfam says of the family: Transfer RNA (tRNA) molecules are approximately 80 nucleotides in length. Lineage: Eukaryota; Fungi; Mucoromycota; Mucoromycetes; Mucorales; Phycomycetaceae. The record is from Rfam.
AGCUGAAUAGCGCAGAGGAAGCGCGUUGGGCCCAUAACCCAAAGGUCGGAGGAUCGAAACCUCCUUCAGCUA